CAUAGCUUGCCUGGGAGUGUCUCCUGGCCUUGCUGACACAACCAGAAACUAGCUCCUAGAGUUAUGCUUGCUUUUCAAGGCAUCGCUUCCAACUCCUCUAUUUUUGUAGUGUAUCACAGCUUGCGGGCUGUGGACUGAAGGCCAGGAGAGCCUGGAAGGCUGACUGCAAAGUAGGGGGUUUAGGAGAGGAAUUUGGAGGAGGAAGGAGGGGUUGAGUGAUGUCCAGAUUCAGGUUUCAGUGCCAUCCCUGCGUUUUACAUUCACAGAAUUUCCCUUUGUGACCUCUUAUCCUGUACCAGCGUCAUGGAACUCUCAUCUGUCAGUCAUAGGAAAUCUGUCCUCUUAUGUGCCUGGAAAACAAAGGGAAAUGUGUAAUUUCACCAGAGGGCAACUCCUGCAUGGCUUAUCUUGCCAUAAAGCUCAGCAGGGACACGGCUCGCUCUGCAAGCAUCAAACUCCUUGCCCAGACAGCGGGCCUUCUUUGCACUUGGAUGUGAAAAGCACUCUCUCACGUGGAGGACACUCAUCCCAGGUUCUUUGGAAGGAGAAAGCUGCCUUUCUUCCCCUACAAUGCAGGCAGUCGGUUGCCUCGAGACACAGGUACCCGUUCUCAGCCAGGAGUGCGUUCUUUGCACACUUGUAGCACCUGUAAUGAGAAAGGAGACAUGAAGGAAAAGAGGAUAAAGGACAGAGGUAUAAUAGAACAUCAGACAGGAAAAAAGAAAGCAGAAUAUGAGUGCCAGCUUUAUUAUUCAGCACAUGCCAAGCAAGCACACUACCACGUGUGCCAUGGAUCCCUGGCAGGGGGUAAGCAGUCUCGGCUGGCCUGGAGCAAGGCCCUUUUAAACUGUAGGCGGCUUCUGG
Molecule: long non-coding RNA, 864 nt
Filed under: Gallus gallus (chicken)
Lineage: Eukaryota; Metazoa; Chordata; Aves; Galliformes; Phasianidae
Description: long non-coding RNA NONGGAT004402
Source: RNAcentral